GUCAGACACAGUGGCACGCACCUGUGGUCCCAGCUACUCGGGAGGUUGAUUCAGGAGUAUCACUUGAGCUCAGGAGUUCUGGGUUGUAGUGUGCUAUGCUGAUUAAGUGUCCGCACUAAGUUUGGCAUCAAUAUGGUGACUUCCUAGGAGCAGGAGGCCACCAGGUUGCCUAGGGAGGGGUGAACCGGCCCAGGUCGGAAAAGGAGCAGGUCAAAACUCCCAUGUUGAUCAGUAGUGGGAUUGCACCUGUGAAUAGCCACUGCACUCUAGGCUGGGCAACAUAGGGAGACCCCGUCUCAA
Molecule: non-coding RNA, 300 nt
Organism: Otolemur garnettii (small-eared galago)
Lineage: Eukaryota; Metazoa; Chordata; Mammalia; Primates; Galagidae
Source: Rfam